UCGCAAACGUAACGAAAGUGGCGUAAAACGCUUACCGUAGACGACGUUCUUUCUUUUUAUACACCGUCGUUCCGCCGACGAUGAAUCGUGCCUGUAUUUACGCGGGGCUGAAAUUAUUGCGACAGAAAUGCAAGCGUCGCGGUAACGUGAAAAUGAUAAAAAACAACGUCCACCUGCACGCGCUGCGCGCAUUAAUAAAAUUUAUACUGGCCGGUGAAAUAAUGCUGUUAACUUUUCGAUAAUCGGUGCCGUGAUUUUAAGCCUGGUCGAGAGUUAUGCGAGUAAUGCAUCAAUAUUAGCUCGCUCGUUACGUAUUUAUGAACGUAUCCGCGUCCGUAAUAUAUAUUUAGACUCUUCACAAUAAAUAUUAGCUAAUCCAAUAGGUAUAUAAAAACUAUAGUCCCUUUUGCUGAUGAUCUUAAUCUAAUCUGCGCAAUGAUUUUUUCGUAUAAAGAAACGAAUAUAAUAAAAAAAUUACGUAGCAGAAGAAACUUUUAGGAAAGUAAAUUGACAAAGAGAAUAACGUGGUAUUUACUUAGGAAAUGUAGGAAACGUCCCUGAGGGUUUGAGCGACGUCAAGGAAAAAUCUGUUAAAAUUACAAAACGAAAAGCUCGACGCUUUCAACCAUUGUAAAAGCUUCGUACACAAUAACGUUGAUCUAAAUCAAACCGGUAGGCCGGGUAUGGCAGGCCGUGGUUCAAAACGUUACGGGUGCAAAGAGAAAAGCGUAGGGCAAGCGAAACCAGACGUACAAACAAACCCUAUCAGCGGAGCGGCGUAAAAUACAAAAAGAGGACGCGACGAGCGAGGAGUCAUUCCUCUAAUUUUCAGCAUCGCGCGUGGAAUUUCGAUAAGCGUGAUUUCAAUAUAGUAUGUAUAGCACUCGCCAGGAGGACGAAAAGAGAGAGGGUCGGUGAGAAGAAACGAUUGGGAAAAAUGUCGGAUAGCACGCAAAGCAAUCUUGUAAUAUUCCCGUGGGAGAGGGCGAUCUCUGAAAUCCCCAAGAGAUGUCACCGUGGAAUAAAGGUUAGACUCGGCAAAAAGUGCACCUGUGGUGAUAUUGGCAACGCCAAAGCAUCCCCAAAUGUGAUAAAUAAAGAGUUACUGGACUGAAACUUGGCAAAAAGAACCGUACGAAAUGAUGGUGAGACCCAGUGACAGAGGGACGUGUACAAUCUUUGGGAAUAAUUGAUGAUACAAGGUCCACGAUACGAUGCUCUUAAACUAUUGAAUGUUUAUGCACUAUUGACAUCAGUAAAUUUUAUAAUAUAAUGAUAGAUUCUAACAUGUAACGUAUUAAUUUAUUAUCAAAUGAAGAGACUAUGCACUCGAAAAUCGAAAAAGAUAUAUUUCUCUAUUUCGCUACGAUUAUAUGAAACAUAUAAUCUAUUACGUGCGCCAGGAUGUUCUUGAAAGCUAUCAUCAGAAUCGGUACGUUUUCUCCAGCAUCGCAAAACUGAAUGAAAGUGCUUUGAUACUUAUGAGCGGUAAGAUGCACGUCAUGGCAUGUUCGCGGUCGCACGUAGCAUGUUACCUUGCGGACGUUCACGCGAUUACACGCGCGAGGGUAGAACGGGUUCGCUGGGAGAACGAAGCCGGGGAUGGAGAAGGCAAAGAGAGAAUGUGCGCGCGUGUCUGUGAAACUUGUCAGGGCGAGAUCAGAAGGCGCACCGUGCGCCGGGGGUGAGCGGCGACGAAGUGGUAUGAGAUUAAAGAGAGAAGAGAGACAAAAAAAGAGGACUGAAACGAGCGGAAGGGAAGGAGAAAGAGGGAGCGAGCGCAAAGGGAAGUUUGAAAAGGAGCGAAAGAGUGAGCAAACUGUUGGGAGAGGGGAUUGCGGAAUGGCCGAGGUUGCUGGUGCCUUCGUGAUAAAAAGUAAAUGAGGAACAAAGGUCCCGCCUUCGGGGGGGUGGAAAAUAUAGGGGCGAGAGAACGAGGAAAAAAGAAGGGUCGAGAGAAGGAUAGAGAAACCGGCGUGGUGGUUGGUAUAGGGAAGAAAGAAGCGGGAGUGGCUCCGACCGUCGGCAGACGUGCCGAGAAUAAUGCCGUCGGAAUUACAUGGCUUGGCAGGAGGUGGGCAGCGUGUUGGUGGCGGUAACUGCGUUAGCGAAUCGGCCGAGGGUCGGAGAAGCCGGGAAAAUCGAGGAAAAUUAAUUGAUAGAGCCUACACAGGCCACUCGUGCCAUCCCUGUAUGCUGCAAGCCACGAUUGUUAGAAUCUCCAUCGAUAACACUUCACGGGUGACUGCAAGUGAAUGAUGUUCCAUUUCCGCUUUGCAUGAUGCGCGAGUUUUCUAAUCCUGAUUCUGAGUGUAUCAAGUACUCUUUUUCUAUCGUCAUUUGAGAGUGAAGGAAACUUUAAUGAAAUGUGCGGUAAAGUAAAUUGUAAAUAUUACCCGUUAAAUUAUAAAAGUAUGGAUUUACAGAAACCGAAUUUUCGUUCACGUACUAUCGAUAUUAAUAGACAUAAGUAAAUGAAAACCUGUAUUACCUUUGUUUUCGUGUUCAUAGAUGUUCUUAGAGAACAGGACACAACAUGAUCAACACUGCAUCGUUGAUUGUAAUUUACAUUACGGCCGAAACGCGUUGUAGAUCACGCGUAGUCAAGCUGUACAUCAUCCGCAUACGUUGCUCGGACCGCAAACGAGUUAUACCAAUUUGCCAAUAAUUGUUGCAGUUAUGUUAAUUCCCAAUCAGUGGCGACGCGUUCGAUUCGCGUACUCCUCGCGUAUGUGUCUGUCAUGCAAAUUUGUUCUGCGUAAGCCAUUCGAGUGACAAAAAUAAAACGAACCCGUCGCAGCAUGGUGCGUAAGAGAGAGAAUGACAAAAUCAGAAGUGUUAGGGAGACGAAUCAUCGAUCAGGGGGAACGAACGACAAACGGCAAUACAGCUACUGAGACAAGGGACGAAGACAGAUGUAAAAGGCUGGACAGAGGGACGGAUAACCGUGUAUCAACGAUUAAAGCAAAGCCACCGACAACAUUGAUUAUGCUUUGCUGGGUUAAUUUAUCGUGUCACGAGUGUCCCAGUUUCCAUUUGUAGCUUUGAUUGAAGGAGUACAAUCUGUCAAACUUAUUCAAAAAGUGUCCCAGCCAAAGUAAAAAAAAGAGGAACACAUUUGUGAACUUAUGUUUUCAUUCCAAUAGAGUGACCGUUGAAAUAUGACAAAAUAGAAUAAUCAGAAAUGGUGGGGUGAUCACAUCAUGGAUAAAAGGAUGAUAAGGUGCUCAAAAAAGCAAUCAAAACGAAGAUGCAUGUACAAGUACAUUAUUCCCAUAUAAACGUAAAUAAAUACAUUCUUGGACGGCAUCGAUGGACACAUUUAUAGUCGUUUUACAGUCACGAUUCUCAAUUCCACCAAUAGCAGCGGUGAUAUUAACGACCAGUAUAACAUUCGACGUCGUGGAAAAUUCAUAUUUCGUUCAUCAAAGAUCUUUGAAUGGAGAAAUUUACGAGCAAGUAGUCUACCGUCGUAUAUGUCAGAUUAUUUGAAGCGUCUUCCUCCGCCUUGAGAACGUACUUAAAAUUUUUUAAUAAUACUCAAACGAACCUGAAUCAUCUGUAUUCAUCCAUAAUCGCAUAAGUACUCUUAAAUGUUAUAUAUUCAACUUUUCAUUAACGUUUCCGCUAAUCUCUAGCUAAGGUAAACCAUGCAGAAAAUUUGUAUGAUUGCAUGCGAUUGUAACAGCAUACAUCUGUUCAGCUUCUGCAAGGGGAGAGUAAGCGCAAAUAAUCUAGCCCCUGUUGAAUCUACCCCUUCGUUUGUCUCCACCUGAUUGUGAUCUGCAACGAUGACAAACCGUUUGAUUGCGCAAACGAAAUAUCUAGAACCUCGACAUUUACCGACGACAGUGACUAUAGAGUAAAUAAAAAAUAUUCGAAUUUAUACAA
Ceratina calcarata is the source of this 3891-nucleotide long non-coding RNA. RefSeq lists it as uncharacterized. Lineage: Eukaryota; Metazoa; Arthropoda; Insecta; Hymenoptera; Apidae. The record is from RefSeq and is a predicted model, not a curated record. The transcript has 3 exons.